This 16481-nucleotide long non-coding RNA is filed under the name Gossypium raimondii (Peruvian cotton). Its description in RNAcentral is "long non-coding RNA (GRAI_LNC004746)". The record is from RNAcentral. Lineage: Eukaryota; Viridiplantae; Streptophyta; Magnoliopsida; Malvales; Malvaceae.
CUUGGAAACGGGAGAGACUGUGGCUAUAAAAAAGGUUCUGCAAGACAGAAGAUACAAAAAUCGUGAACUGCAGUUGAUGCGUGUGCUGGAUCAUCCAAAUGUGAUUUCCUUGAAGCAUUGUUUCUUUUCCACGACAACUAAAAAUGAGCUUUUUCUUAAUUUGGUUAUGGAAUACGUACCGGAGAGCAUGUACAGGGUUUUGAAACAUUACAGCAGUGCAAAUCAAAGAAUGCCGCUUAUAUAUGUUAAACUUUACACAUACCAGGUGCGCAUAGUAGUCUUUUCCAUUCUUGGUUUGUUGCACAAUUUUCUUUAUUCUAAUUAGAUGAAGUUUUACAGAUAUUCAGGGGGCUUGCAUACCUCCACAGUGUUGUCGGAGUUUGCCAUAGGGAUUUGAAGCCUCAAAAUGUUUUGGUACUUUUCUUACUAAUGAUUUUUUGUUGAUUGUUUCAAAUAUGUUACUAAGAUAAUUUUGGCCUUUUACAGGUUGAUCCUUUGACUCACCAGGUUAAGAUAUGUGAUUUUGGAAGUGCAAAAGUGCUUGUAAGUUAGCUCACUCUAUACUUAUUUUUCAAUGUCUCUUCCUUUCAAUUUUGUUGGGUCCAUAAGCUUCUAAUACUAAAAUAGGAUUUUGGCUCUGCAUUAUGUGAAUGUUUUCUUCUGAUCCUAAUUUCUUAAGGAUUUUCAUGUGUUAUCAUCUGCUAUUUUCAAGAUCAAGGGUGCAAGUUGCUACUCUUGCAAUUAUUUGCAAAAUUUGCAUUGUGACAAUACAAUUAAGUGACUACUUCCUGUUGAUUCAUGAUUGUGCAAACUACUGAAACUUGUUUUAACUUUUUUAUCUUCAUUUGUAUCAUCUUAAAUACUAUAAAUACAGAAUCUAAGCAACCUUUUCAAGCUUAGCCCUCUUGAAAGAGGCACUUCCCUUGUUAGAGUUUCCCCUUUCAUUUAGCUUCCUUUCUGGCCUCUUUGUGGUGUGAAGAGAUGAAAAGGAUUGGAUUGGAUUAAGAUUAUUUUAGAUAAAAGAGUACUAUUAUCAUGCUUACGGUCCUCUUUUGCUCGUAUUUUUAUCUUAAAACUUUAUACUUACUAUUAAUUUACUUUCAAUCAGGUCAAAGGUGAAGCUAACAUUUCAUACAUAUGCUCGCGUUUCUAUCGGGCCCCAGAACUUAUCUUUGGCGCGACAGAAUACACAACCUCAAUUGAUAUCUGGUCAGCUGGUUGUGUUCUAGCUGAACUAUUGCUGGGCCAGGUUUGCCUCUUCCCUUUUUAUUUCUUUAUUUAUUAGUUUGAUAUAUCAUACCUACCAAUCUUUUAGUUUCUAUGGUCCUUGAUGCCUUUUUCUUUUCUUGUGUAGCCGUUGUUUCCCGGAGAGAAUGCUGUGGGCCAGCUUGUAGAGAUUAUUAAGGUAUGAUUUGCUUUGCAAUGCUUGAUGUUGUGCAUUUUAUUGAUUGUACCAUCUGUCUGCUCAUUACAUCUUUUCCUCCAGGUCCUAGGUACUCCUACUAGGGAAGAAAUUCGCUGUAUGAAUCCCAAUUACACGGAUUUUAGGUUUCCACAGAUGAAAGCGCAUCCGUGGCAUAAGGUAAAUACCUUUUUCUUGUACUUUUUUAAAUUUGUCACUGAAAUGAUUGGUGUAGAGACGUAUUAUUUUUGUAAUGCCUUCAGAAUAUCUUUCUCAUGAAUGUCUGCUUUUUUAAAAAAAAAUAAAAAUACAAAAUUCUUGAAUAUCUUCUGUUUGGUACAAGGUCAAUUUACAAAUUGUGGGAGUGAGAAUUACAUCAACAGGGUUUGAACCCUAGUCACAAGGAGCCUUAACCACUGCUCCCUUAUAAUGUUGACAAAAUUCUUGAAUAUCUUGAAUUAUGUUUUACUUGACUCUAUGUUUUUAGGUUUUUCACAAAAGGAUGCCUCCCGAAGCAAUCGAUCUUACUUCACGACUGUUGCAAUACUCACCUAGUCUUCGCUGUACAGCUGUGAGUUCCGAGUGUCUCCCACUUUUGAUGAGUGAUAUUUCCAUUUUAGACUGGGAAAAUAUGCACAAAUUAUUCAAUUAUCAUUUCGCUUCCAAUAGUUAUGUUUUAGUAAUAACCAUCCCAGUCUUAUGUUUCUGUAAUCUGCCCUUUGCUACGACAGCUUGAAGCAUGUGCGCAUCCCUUCUUUGAUGAGCUGCGAGAACCUAAUGCUCGCCUACCAAAUGGUCGACCUUUACCGCCACUCUUUAACUUCAAACAGGAAGUAUGUUUCUGAACUAAACACCAUUCCAACAUUCUUUUCCUUCGUACAAAGAUGUCAGUUUCUCAUUGAAUCAACGGGUUUCUUUUGGUUACAGUUAUCUGGGGCUUCACCGGAGCUGAUUAACAAGUUGAUUCCUGAUCAUGUGAAACGGCAGAUAGGGCUCCAACAUUUCAUGCAUCCAGCCGGAACAUAAAACUUCAAAACUGAUGUAAGACUCAGUAUCUCCUAGUCGACACAGGACACAAAGGAAAGUACUAUCGAUGGAUAACCACCACCGAUCUGAGCCUGUCUCAACGGCACGUAAGUCUCAGGCCAGCCUCUCUUGCUCCUUUAUUCUAUGAAUAUUAGCUGUUUGUGAAAAUGGGUUUGUUAUAUGUACAUGUAAACAUGUUUGAUAGUAAAAGAUGAAGACUUUAAGGUGAAAAAGACCAUAAAAGGGUGCUAGUGGGGGGAAAAGUACCGAUAGAAAUGGCCCAAAGAUAGGCUUUAGAUUGGUUCUUGUGUUUUUUAGUUAUUGUGGUAGCUGACUUCAAAUGGCAGACAAUUUAUUGUUACUGUUAGUGUGCAAAGUAAUAUUAUUACUCUUUUCUAAUACUGGAAUAAGAAACUAAACCGGCCAGUGAGAUCGGUUGAAUAAAAAAACUGAUGGUUUCUAUAAGAAUAGGGUCCUAUCAAAAAAUCAGUCCAACUGGUAAAGGUUGAAUUGAAGAUUAUGUGAUCCAAGUUAAAUAAAUUCGUUGAAGUUGGAAUCGGAUUAUUUUCAACUUUGAAUUUCAAUAAAUCUAAUUUCGGUACAGCCUUUCCAUUCUAUUACUUCUGUAUUCUGUUUCCACAGGGUAGUUAGUUCGUUCCUCGAGGUAAUUUAUUAUUCAUUUGAAGGGUUACUAUUAGUUGCAAAGAAGGGUUAAGAAUUCUAUUUAUUUAUUUUUAGAUUUUUAAAUAUAAUUCAAUUAUCUAAAGGAUAUUUGUUGUCAUCAAACCCCGGCCUGUGGAAUUUUUUUAUUAUUUAUUGCAAGUGGAAUAGAAAAUAAAACGCUUAAUAUAUUAUUUGAUACUCGAGUUUCACGCUUGUUUUUAAUAUGGCUUUUGUAUUUUUCUUGUCCAAUUUGGUACCUGUAUUUGACAAAAAUUAUAUAUUUUGGUACUCAAAGAUAACUGUGCGUUCACUUUUCAGUGUUUAAUUCGAGUUUUAGGGUUGAUUUGAUGAAAGUUAAUUGUUAAUAUUAUUAGGCUUGAUUUUUCAUGAUUUUGUUAAUAGAAUAAGUUUAGUGUUAAUUGUGAAUUUGUUUAGUUUUGAGUUGAAUUUGUCAAAUAUAGUUUGAUAGGUAUGAUUUAAUUCGAGUUUUAGAAUUGAUUUGAUGAAAGUUAAUUGUUAAUAUUAUUAACUAAUUAUGAAUUUUCAUCAAUUCAAUUCUAAAAUCCGAAUAUUUAACAUUAAAAAAUAACAUUUUUUUGUCCAAUACAAGUGCUACUUGGCACAAGGUAUCACAUUAUAUACAAAUUAUAUAUCUAUCAAGCCAUAAAAAAAACUAGACAAAAGUGUUUAAGAUGUCUUUUUUUUAAUUUAUUUUUCUUUUUUACAAUAUAUUAUAUGAUAAUAGGUUACAUGCUUAAUAUUCUUCCAUUGAAAUAACUGACCAAGCCCAUAUGUUAAAAGUAAAAUAAUAUUUUAUAAUGUAAAAUAUGAUAAAUUUUAUUAUAUUUAAAUUCUUAAAUGGAAAUGCAAAAUGAUUAAAUGAUUUUUUUAAGAAGUGAUAAAUAUAAUUGUGAGUACUUUUAUUAUCUCUUAACAUAAUUUAUAAAUCCAAAAUAAAUUUAGAAAGUUUAUCACAAUCUUUUCUUCUUCUUUUUCUUUGAAAACAAUUUUUAUAAAUAUAUUUUUAUAUAACUUUUUCCCGUGACGUUAUAAUUAAGUUUUUUUUAAGUAUUUUUAAUUUCACAUAAAACUUCUUUUAAUAUUUUUUUAAAGUAUUACUAUUAGAGAAAUUAUAAAUUUUAAAGGAAUUAAAGUGUAAUUUUAUUUUUUUAUAAUUUCACCAAUUUUUAAAGGAAUAUUAUAUCAAAAUAAUUUGACGGUCAGGGCACCAGCACUCUUGGCGGCGUCAGUUCCUGACUAUGUUCUAAAGUGAAUAUACGUUUGGAGAAAAACAAAAUAAUAAAAAUAAUUCAGUUUUGCUCUUAGUGCUUAUAUUUUUUAAACUUACUUUUAAUUUCAGGAAUUUAAUUUUUACUCAAUUUAAUAGUUAAAGUUUAAUUGUUAAUAAUAAUUAGACCUGAUUAUGAGUUGGAUCGAGUCUAUGUAGAAUUUUAGAACUGUUUUUUAUGCUUGAAUUCACCAAACUCAAAAAAUGAAUUUAAAAUUUUAUUCAAAUUUAACUUAAAUUAAAAAUGUUAACCCAGACAGGCUUGGAUUAAGUGUUGCAACCUCAGGGCCGAAGAGAUUGCUCCCAAAGUGGUGGACAUGUCACGCAUGCUCUCUUUUAUUUGGCCAUGUGGAUUUUAAUAUAUUAGUAAAAAUACUAGUAUAUAAACAUUUGCAGUCUAGACCUGUCAUGCUUCUGUUGGUGUUAUAUAUUGCUUUCCUCUUUUAAUUUAAAACCAAAAUUAGUUUUUUUAUUUAUUUGCUUAGAUAUAUUAGCAGACGCCAGUUGUGGACAACCAGCUCUGCUUUUAGUUUCAGAUUAAUUAUAUUUUUUUCUUUUUCAAGAUAGUAUUUUUUAUACCAUCAUCCAGAUAAUAAUUAGCUGAGAGUAAAAACAUUGCAUGAUGAGGAACAUGCAUAUAAAUAUAUAAAACAUAAAAAAAAAAUUAGAAAAGAUUGUUGUCAGCAAUGCAUUGUUGGCUAAAUUCUUCUGGCAUAGAGGGGAAAAAUAAAAGAAAGUAUAUGCAUUUGAUUUGGGUUGGGUCAGGGAAAAAAUAAUUUACUUUGAGGCUUGGGCGAUUUAAAAAAUGAAUUGUAUUUUUUAAGUUUAUAUUUUUGUUCAAAUUUUUUCUCUAGGUUUUUAAAUCUAGACAGAUAACCCGAUUCAUAAUCAGAUUUAAUAAAAAUAGAAGAGUUUUAUUAAAUUGGAUAAUGUGACAUUUUAAAAAAGAAAAUCUUAUAAUUUCAAAAUCAAAUUUUUUAUUUACUUAUUUUUUCUUUCGCUUCCAAGUAAUUUUUUUAAAAAAAAUAUAGUAUAAUUUAAUUCAACGAAAAUAUUUUUUAAAUAAAAAAAAGUAAAAAGAUUACAUUUUUGAAAUUAAAAGCAAAACAAUUAAAUUACAAAUAUGCGAACAACAUGUAAGUAUUAUACAGCUUGCCAGACCUAAACAAUUAGGAUAAUCCUACCCCAUCACAUCAAGUUACGUACCAAACUUAAUAAAGCACUUAGGGUCCUUAGCCUUUAGCUCAGAGUAUAACAUCCCUUUUUAGUUUUUAGGUAUUCAAUUAAACCCUUUAUCAACAAAUUUUUUAGUUUUACCCCCCAAAUUUCUUAAAUUUUAUAUUAGCCCACCCAAUAAUAAAUUGUUGGUUCGGCCCCUUGAAGCUCUCAUGUUGAAUAAUAAGCUUAUCAAUCAAAAGAUGACACGUAACCUAUAAGUGUUCCCUUUAAAUACUUCUUCAUACAACGUAACAGAGAGAUCAAUCUUUCUUCUACCACUCUCUCUUGACUAUGCCUCUUUGAAUUUCUUUACAAUCUCUCCUCCUACCAUUUUGUCACUUGUAACUCUUGGCCUAUCGGGUGAACCAUCUUUUAUCUCCUCGCCACAUUCUUGUAUCAACAAUUGAUACUGUGAGCAAAUGUAACAUGACUCGCUCAAACUCAAAUAGAAUUUUAAAAUUGUAAAAUUGUCAAAAAUUAAACUAUCAACAUGCAUUUUUUUUCCCUUUUUUUAUUACACUUUGAUUUGAAUAUGUAUAUAAUAUUUUUACCAUGAUAGUGACUUUCUUAUACCAAACUAGCCGGUAACUAGGGGCUAAAUUAGGUAUAUAUGUCGUUUUUAAAAAAAUAUUUAAGUGAUUAGACCAAUUUCUGGGAUAUUUACAGGAAUAAGUUGAUUUUGGAGAGAGAAAGCGAAAAGGUGUCCAGUUAGACGUGCUUUCAAUUUCCUUCCGACUUUUUUAACAAAUUAUCUUUUUUGGUAGGAUGGUUAAAUGUUAAUAUUUUUAUUCUUGAGUUUCGGGUUUGAUUCCUCUCCUACUCACAUUUGUAUUUUUUAUUUUAUGUUACUUCAAGCUUUUUUUUAUUUUUAAUUAAUGUUUUUAUUAUAUUAGCUCUUUUGGUUAGAUGGUUAGAUAAUUGCAAUUACAUCCUUGAGUCCUAAGUUCAAUUGUUUUUAUAAGCAUAUUAAUGUAUAUUUUAUUUCAUGUUGUUUUAAACUUUUUUUAAUUAAUAAAUAUAUUAUUUUCAAGUUUUUUUUUAAUUAAUAACUCUUUAAUUUAUAAAAUCAAAUAAUUAUUGCAAAUAUCAUUAUUUUUAGUAUUAUAUAUUUUUUGUAUGUGUAUUUGAAAUAUUUCACAUGAUAUUUGAAAUAAUUAAUUAAAAUAAAUAAAAGAGUUAUUAAUCACGUAAUCCCACAGUCUAAGUUUUGAAGUUUAGUUUGUAUACACAGGCUGAGUCAGCAGAGAAAUCAGAAAGAAGCAGUGUUGACUUUGACCAGCCCACCUGCGGCUUCCUUCAUUCUUCUUCUUUGAACUUGAUUUAGCUUUAAUACUUCAAAAUUCAGUUUCAAAAAUGAAGCUGGAUUAAACUAAGUGAGUUUUUAACAUUUAAUUUUAAGUAAGACUCGAGUUUUUUGUGAUUUAAAUUUCACUACUUCGCUACCAUGAUGGCACUAUCAUUAUUUUUACCUCAACAAUUUUGUGCUGUGAGCAUGGAUCUAUCCGAACGAGGAUACCUGAGAUUCUAACUGUUUCUACUUUCCCUACCACUCCAAGUAGGUCAAACCAGUAAUCAUGUUCACAAUCCUUACACAGAUGUUUUUGGGAGUUGGUUUCAUCAACAACUACAAAACGUUGCUCAGAAUGAUUAUUCUCUACUGCCACCGGCUCAAAACCCAUUGUCAAAUCCUAAUUCUUUAUCUCAACAUUUUCUGGAUCUGCAAGAGCAAAUGAGAGCAUUAAAAGAUCAGAUGCUCCAAUAGAAUCUUAGGCAUGAGCAGCAAUAUUGGCAGUAUCAAGACCAACUCCAGCAAAGUAAUGAAACUAUAAAAGAAUUGAGAACUGGGCAACGUCCUUCUUUAGACGCCCAGGAGUGCAUGCGAGAGCCUCAACAAGAGCACAAUAUGGAUCAAAUUCGUCCUUAUAUGCAACAAGUAUGGCAAGAGGAAAUGGAGGCCAUUGAGAUCGGAUGUGGAAGAUAUGGACUGGGUCCAUUGCUCAAGCAACUUGUUAGCAUCAUAAAUUGCAAGUGUAAAUCUCUUACGAAGGGAAUAAAGAUCAUCGGCCCACUUAAUGUAGUACAAUGAUUCCAUGAACAUAUUGAGGGCCUUUGAUACGUGUAAGUGUAAAGCUUUCCCUCCCACCUUUAGGGGAAAUGUGAAGAACUGGUAUUUUUCUUUGCUAGGGGGAUCCAUCCACAAUUGUGAAUAGUUGGGACGUCUAUUUUUGGGUAGAUUUUGAGCACAUAGGAACAUCAUUAACACGCCUAUGGGUAGAUUUUGACUACUGUGGAAACCCUUUUUUCGAAAUCGACUUUUUUUUUUGAAAAAACCGAAAAUGGAGUCGCCACCAAUCACUUUCAUGAUGUGUGAUCGAAUCACCUUGUAAUUUAAUCAUUUUAAUAAGAUGUUUGAUUUACUAAAACAAUGUUUUUCGAUCUACAAAAUCCAAAAAAUGGGUUCGGGAGUCAAUUGCGCACGAGGAAGGAUUAACACCCUCAUUACGGCCAAAAUUGGUACCUAAUUGAUUACUUGAUGUCUUAGUAUCGAGAAUUGAAAAUCUGUAGAGAAUUUAAAAUACGAUCAUUUUUUGUACUAAGAUAUUUUAAUAGAAAAGGCUUUAUUCUGAAUUAAUCAAGAAGAAGGAUCAUGCUCUAUGAGUUAGGAUACAACACCCUUAGUUUUCGAAAACCAAAAUAAUCACCGUUUUAAUCGUUACUUAAGAUUUUUUUUUUUAAAUUUAUUUUAAAUAGGAUAUUCGAUUAUUUCAGUUCUAAGAAAAUGUCAUACUUCGUAAGUUAGGAGCACGACUUUUUCGAAUCCCAAAAAUAAUGAACACUCUUUUUUGAAUAUUUCAUAUGUUAUAUAAAACAAAGAUGACCCCCUUUUUUAAAACGAUACGUAUAUUUUUAACAAAAACGAAUGAAUAUGUUGUGAUAUAAUAUAUAAAAUGAUAAUAGUAAUGCAACUACGAUAAUAAUGAGAAUACCAAUUUUAAAAUAAUAAUAUCAAUUUUAUAAUAAUAUCAAUAAUGGUAUUAAUCAAAGAGUAGUUAUUAUUAUAUUAAUAAUAUAAGUAAAUAAAAUGAAAAUAACAAGGAUAAAAUAGAAUAACAUGUAUAAAUAGUAUAGUAGUUUGGUAAAAUAAAAUAAAAUGGCUACUUGAGUAGGAUAUUAGAAUGAUAAAAUAUAAAUAAAUUAAAUAAUGUAAUAAUAAUAAAAUAGAUAAGAUUAUUCAAAAUAAAAAUAAACAGAAGAUGCAUGAUUAAAAAGACAAGACAUGAAAGUACUAAAAAUAAAAGAAAUAAAAAAAUAAAGUAAUAAUGACAAUAUGAUAAAAAUGUACAAAAAUGUACGAAAUUAGGAAAAAAAAGACAAUAAUAAAUAAAUAAAUAAAUAAAUCAUGAAAGGUUGAAAUUGCCAUAAUAAAUAAGUAAAUAAUAAAAAAAUUUCAUGAAAAGUUGAAAUUAAAUAAAUAAAUAAUUAAAUUUAAAUUUAAAUAAAAUCAAAUUAUAAAUCGCAAAAUAAUAAAGGAAAAUGGAAAAUAAGGACUAAAUUGAAUGUCUAUUGAAAUCUAAGGUUUGAAUUAAAAAACAUAAAUGACUAAAUUAAAACGAUAUGCAAAGUUUCGAGGCCUUCGAAGAAAUUAACCCAAAAAUACAUGCGUCCUUCCCCCAAGGGUCAGCGGUCUGUGGACCAAAUUGAAAGAAAUUUAAAAUUAAGUGGUGCGAUCUAAAAAAAGAAAAAAAGAAAAAUUAGGACCAAAUUAAAAAGAGGUCGCAAAUAGACCCUUGCUGUGAAAACACCUAGAUCCUAAGGCGGGUCGGGUCAGUUUUCGGGUCGCACCUCAAAACGAUGUCGUUUCAGGCAUCCAUCACUUAAAAUGGUCCAAGGAUCAAAAUGAAAAUAAAAUAAAAUAAAAUGGCAAAAAGAAAAAAAAUGAAAUAGGACUAAAUUAAAACAAGCUGCAAAAUCGGAAGGACCAAAAGCACAAAUAGACCAUUUUUAAAAAAGGAUCCUAUUAAAGGUUCGAGUUAGAUUUCGGGCUUGGCCCCAAAACAAUGUCGUUUUGAGGCUAUUGAUGUCAGCCCUAAACGACGUCAUUUAGCGUCGUCUAUAUAAGCCAAUUUUUUUUAAAAAAUCAUUCUGCUCUAGUUUAAAAAAAAAUUAAAAGCCCCUUUUCUUUUUCUCUCAAUUUUUCCUCCGUCCGGCCAUUGGGCUACCGUCGAUCCGCCGCAGCCACUCUUCGUCGACAACAGCGGCCGCCGUCCCCGAUGGCUGAAGUUCACGAAAAAAAGCCCAUUUUGGCCGUUUUAUUUCCCUCAACCCCGAUCUAAGGCCAAAAUAUCCAAAAAAUCCCACCAAAAUUUGAAAAAAAUCAAAGGAACCUUUCGGUUCUCAGUCAUCUUCUGUCGCGACCAUUCGGCGAGUCCCCAAGGAUCCGUCGGUCUUUCAAAACAGAGGAAGAAGACGACAGCGGCGAUAAAGGUAAAAAAAAAGGUUUCAUUUUUAUUUUAUUAUAUAUAUUUUCGAAAAUAACAGAUAAAAAUAUAAAAAUAUAAAAGAAUCACCUUUUUUUUUUUUUGAGUUUAUAUCUCAUUUCUAGUUCUUUUUUGUAUUCAAUUUCUCUCCUUUUUUUGAUAGAUUUUUUGUGUCCAAAAAUACAUGAUUAUCCUGACUUUUAUAGCCGAAUACAAAAAGAUAUUUUUACUGUUUGUCCAUUGUUCUUGCCUGUUCUUUGCUAUUUUUUGCAAGUGGUGAUUGAGGAGCGGUUGAUGGUGGCAGAGGCUAGGAGCGGCGGCGACACUAGGCUAGGGUGCAGUGCAAAAGGGGCUAGGGUUUCUGUUGAAAAGUGUAACAGCCCAAUUUUGACCCUAAUCUGAAUAGUGGUUUCAGGACCACAAAUCCGAGUCUAAAAAAUAUUUUAAUAUUAUUUUGUGUGUUUAUGAUAUGUGAAUUUAAAUGUGUGAAAGUUUCGUGAAUUAAUUUUGUUGUUUAUGUGUUUAAUUUGACAAAAGUAUCAAAUUACAUAAAAUGUGAAGUUUGCUUAUUAAGGUGUAAAGUGUUUAUUUGAUAGUGGCUUUUAAAUAUGAGGUUCUUAAAGGGCAAUUAGCCCAUUUUAAAGGAUAGUGGAUGGCAAUGAUAGUUAAUAUAUAGUUUUUAUAUAUUAAAUAUAAAAUUUAUAAUAAUAAUAGUAUAAUAUUAUGUUAUUAUAUCAUUAAAACAUAAAAGAAAUAAGCUUUUUCUUCAUUGUUUGUAUCACCGAAAAUAGAAAAGAAAAACAAGGUUUGAGAGCUUGAAAUAUUCGGCCAUUUUGAAGCUUAAUUCCAGGUUAGUUUUUGUUCGGUUUUUGAUAAUUUUUACGUUUUUGAGAUCGUUGCUUUGAAUACUUCAAAACCCAUGUCUUAAUUUUGUGAAUUGUUGAUGAUUUGAGAAAUGCCAUUGAUGAAUGCUUGAGCUUUGUGAUAGUUGAUGAUGAAAUAUGAAAGAUAUGUGAAAGAUUAACAUGCUUUGUUUUUGAAUUUUUGAUGAAUUUGAGUAAUUAGGGUUAAGUUGUAAAAAUAAAAUUUUUAAGGAACUAAAAUGUGAAAUAAAUGAAAUGUGUGGGUUUGUAUGGACACUAGGAAUAUUCGGCCCUUAAGGAGUGUAGUCAAAUUUUGUGUAUUUUGUGUUUUGAGCAAAAAGGACUAAAUUGUGAAAAUAUGAAAUAUUAGGGGUAAAAAUGUAAUUUUCUCAUUUAUGUGUUCUUAUACUAAAUUGAAUGAAAAUAUGUUUAAAUGAGAUUUAUUUGAAUAUGUUUAGAUCAAGAAACCAAGAAAUCGGAUUUAGAUCGGGGGAAAUCAAAGGUAGUUGAGUAGCCGAUCUAUUAGUCGACAAUAUCCGAGGUAAGUUAUUAAGCAUACAUAGUUGUGUCGUUUUAAAUUAUCUUAACAUCUACGUAAUUAUGCUGAAUUGAAUUGAUAUAUAUGUAGUGAUAAAAUUUUUGAAAUAUGACGUAUUGAGUUGUUGACUUCCAACACUAAGUGUGCGAGUAUAAAAAUAUAUGAUAAUGAGAUUAGCACUAAGUGUGCGAGUUUAAUUGAAAUGCACUAAGUGUGCGAGUAUAAGGGUAAAGCACUAAGUGUGCGAGUUUGAUUAUUAAGCACUAAGUGUGCGUACUUAUUAAAUAUUUUCGAAAGAUUAUUAAUAUCGAGUAUUUGACUUAUCGAGGAAUCAUGAGUAAUAAAGUGAGUAAUAAUUAUUUUGGUGGUAUUCAAGAUUAAGUUUUGUAAGUAUUAAACCUAGGUGGUGAUUAUAAUUGGAAUCAUAUUUAUUUAAGAUGAUUCUUUAUAUUUUAUGAUAAUAAAAUGUAUAAUGUACUUGACCUUGUACUUUAAUUGGAAGAAAUGCUUAUAGUUGUGUUAUUAUAUUGAUUUUUGUUAAAUCAUAAUAUGAAGUGAAUAAUUAUAUUAUGCUAUGGUAAGCUAAAGGUAAGAUGAUUUAGAAGUAUGAAUUGGUUAAAUAUUAUUCUAGAUGUCAAGUUAAAUUGUAGAGUUUAUUUGCUUGUAACUUACUAAGCUAAAUUAGCUUACCAUGUGUUGGAUUAUUGUUUGAUGUAUAGAUUUUGGUGAUCGCUACGUGUUCGGGUAUCGUCAGCUAAGCUCAUCACACUAUCGGUGUCUCCUUUUGGUAUUUUGCUAAAUUGUUUUCAAAUAUAUGGCAUGUAUAGCAUAGUUAAAAAAAAUGUUGAUUUUGAAACCAAUGUGUUUGUGUAAUUAAAAGCCAUGCGAAAAUGGCUUAUCUCUUUUUGUUUGAAUUUGACUUUGAUACAUAUAGUUUAAUGUACAAUUUGGGGUAUAUGCUUAUGUAUCAUGUGCAUGAUUAAUUAGAUUUAGAUAAUGUAUAUACUUGGCUUAGAUAUAAGUUCAAUAAUUAUUUUUUUUAAAGAUGUGAUGACCGAUUGUGUGGUGCAAGUUUGAUUUAGUGUAUGCAUAUUAAGCAUGUAAAUUAGGUAUAAAAUUAGAGGUUAAUAGUGAAUAAUAUGGUUCAAGUUGUCAUGGUCAUAUGCGCACAAAAUGGUAGUGAGAAAAUAGGUACAUUUUUGUGUUAUAAAUUUUAAUGUAUAAUGCUGUCCAAUUUUAAGUAUAUUGAUGCUGUCCAUUUUAAUGUAUAAUGCUGUCCAAUUUUGAGUAUAUUUAAGCUGUCUAAUUUGAUGUAUAAUGCUGUCCAUUUAGAGCAUAUUAUUGCUGUCCAAUUUGAUGAAUAAUUGCUGUCCAAAACAGGGUUGGUUCUUUAUGUCUGUAGUAUGUUACAUAGUUAAUAAUUUAUUAAUGAAAUAAAUGUAUGCAAAUAGUAGUUUUAAUAUUGGCUCGGCAUAUGAUAUGUAUUGAAAAAUGUUAAUUUUAAAAUGUUUUAAGUAUUUGAAUGAUAUAAAAUUUUUAAUUAGUAAAGCAUGAUUGAUAUUUGGUGUGGAUUGUUAAUGACUUAUAUUUUUGGUGAAUAAAUUGUUUUUGAUAAUUAGGUGAAAUAAAUUAGGAUUUUAAAUAUAUAUAUUUACAUAUUCAAGACGCAUAUUUAUAUACAGCUUGAUAUUUAGUUCAUUCUGUUAAGUGUAAGAUUUCGAUAUUUAGUAUCACUCAUUAAUCCUAAUCCGACGACGGAUAUGGAUUAGGGGUGUUACAAAAAGUUUUGGGUGUUGGGCCUAUCAGGCCAUUAUGAUUUUUUUGUCUAGUUUCUGUUUGGGUUGAUUAGGCCUUUUUAUUUGUAAUUCGGGCCUAGGAUAAAUUGUCCUAUUACAACUACAUUAAUCGCUUUCAUAUGGUGACCCUUAACACAAGGGAUCUUAGUGAUCAUGGGCAGUGGAUGCAUUCACAAUGUGUGUAAACAACAAGCAUGUAUGGUACUCCUUUACUAAUAACAAGCCUCAAGACGUGGUUAACCUGUAUGAGAGAGCUAAAAAAUUUACAAAAUUUGAGAAAACUGAGGAAUCUGCAUUUGAAUUUUCUACCUCGUCGUAAAAGAAAUGGAGAUCACCUCGCCCAUGGGCAAACAUUAAGUAGAUAUCAAGAUCAUAUUCUCCCCAACUUAAGGGUGAACUUAGGAGCGAGGACAACAUAAUACGCAUUUCCUCGAUUCUUUAAAGAUCUCCUCAAGGAGUAUCACCUCACAUUUUGAAGCAUAUGAAGAUAAAAGGCACCAAGGUCCCUAUAACAAGUUGAACAAUUAUACUCCUUUAAACUCUUGAGGAACCUACAUCUUGAAUUAGGUUUGACCAAAAUAUUCUAGAAAAUAUUCUUUCAAUGAAACCCUAUCGGUUCAGAAUUCUCUCUAAAGAUAGACGUCAAUUUCAUGAUGAUUUAUGGCAUAAGAUUGGGUACUUUUUCUUGACACGUGGCAAUAUAUCAUCGGUUGAUUUUAUUAACAAAAAUUUGGGUUAAGGAUAACCAUGAUUACAAAAUGGAAGUAUAGGGGCCAAACUAAUAAAAAAUAAAAUACAAGGAUUAAACUAAUAAAAAAAUUGUAUAGGUACUAAAGUGAUAAUUUAACUAAAAUACAUGAGUCAAAAGAAGUAUUAAGCUUUUAAAUUUAUAUAUAUAUUAAGGUCUUCCGAUCAAAUUUCAGUUUUGAUCCAUCUACUUCUUUUCUUUUGAAAUUAUAUAUUCAAAAUUAAUAUUUGAUAAAAUUUUGUCCCUCAAUUUUUCGUCUAAGUUUUCCUAACAUUAUAAGGUUUUGAUUAAAUUUUAAUUCUAAUCCCUCUCUUUUCUUUUCUAAGAUUAUAUAAAAAUAGUCAACUUUCAGUUUUGGUCUCCAUAUUUUAAUUUUUGACAUAAUUUCAUACAUUAACUUUUACAAUGUCAUUAGUCUAAAUAAUUUAUUCUAAUUAAAUGUUGACAUCAAUUUUAAGAAUCGUUAACAUAGUUAAAUUUUUUUAUUAAAUUUAGGUCCAUUACAAUGUUAAUUUUUUUCACAUGACUAUUUAGCGAAUAUUUUUAAAAAAAAUUACAAAAUGUUACAAUAACAAAUUUAACAAAAAAUUCUAACCCUGUUAAAAAUUAGACUUAAAUUUUUAAAUUCAAAAAAUAAAAAAAUUAAAUUCCUUUAAAUAAAAGUACGAGGACUAAACUUUAAAUAUAUAAAAAAUACCAAAACUAAAACAUAUUUUAACCUUUUUAAGUUUUUACUUAAUAAUUUAGUUUUAAAAAAUUAACCAAUGAAAAGAGAGGGUGAGACCCGUACUAGCAGAAAUACAAAAUAACGUAGUAACGGUAAGAAUAACGGAUAUAAAACAAAAGCUUGUCCCAACGGAAGAGACGAAUGACGGAAAACGUUAAAACUGCUCAAUAAUUAAAAAACGUCGGCGAUUAAUUUAUUUCAAUUUUAUCUGUUUUUCUCCAAAGUUUUCUCGGGAAAAUUUCAAAUCUCGUCCUUAAUAAUUAGAUAAGAAUUCAAAGGGCUGUUUGGGAAGUUUAGAAACAAAAAGAAAAAAAGAGAGAAGAAAAUGGAAAGCAGAGACAGAAGACCAAGAAACGGAAGAAAAUAAAUAUAAGAAAAGAAGAAGAAAAGAAGGGAAAAAUGGAGGGAGAGGUGGAAUCACAUGCGCAUUAGUUCACUGUCGUUCUCCUAGGCCCUCGUUUGCUUGUUCUAAUUCUUGUUAAUCAUCAUCAUAUUCCUUUUUGCUCGUCAUGGCUGACGAUAAGGUAAACUUUCUUCUUUUCUUUUUUCUUUCAAAUUUUUUCUGAUAUCGGAAUUCGGAAGUGAAUCUUCGAAUUUUUUGGUGAAUGUUUUGCUUAUGAUUAUAUUAGAUCCUUUUUUUAAAAAUUAUUAUUAGAUUUUCUUUUAUUUUUUAUGGCGUUGUAGUUGAUUAUGCUAAUCGAGGAACCCUAGAUAAUGAGAUUUUGCUAUGUAUUUGUUCGAUCUGUCUGUGAUCACUUCUCUGUAUUUUUUUUUUGUAGUUAUGAGCUUUUAAUUAUUUUCUUUAAAGGUCGAAAUUUGUAUCAUUUCUUUAAAGGUCGAAAUUUGUAUCAUUCUUUUUUUCUUUUUCCUUUUGUGGUUUUAUGUGUGUGUUUUUAGCUUAGGUUAAAAAUUAUCGGAUCAAAUUGAACAUUGUAGCUUAAAUUAUUAAAUGGAUUUGUUCUUUUUUGGACUUCGUAACUUUUAUCAAGGGAAAAGCUGGUUCUUUUGAAUCUUCAUUUUUUUUGCUCCUUAAAAGUUUCAUAUCUCUUUUUUCUAACCAUGAGAUUCUUAAUUUAUCAGGAAAUGUCGGCCCUUGUUGUUGAUGUCAAUGAUCCGGUUACCGGUCACAUCAUUUCCACAACGAUUGGAGGCAAAAAUGGAGAGCCUAAACAGGUAUAUUUCACUUAUUGUGUUACCUACUUUCAUAUAUGUUCAGAUUAUGCUUUAGCUAUAGGCUUUUACAUGGUUAAGAUCAAUGUUAGUAAUGAUAACAAGAUUGUUUUACUUGGGAUUUCAUGUUUCCUAUGUCUUGAUUAUUGUAGACCAUCAGUUAUAUGGCUGAGCGUGUAGUUGGCACUGGAUCUUUUGGGAUUGUUUUCCAGGUACCGAGACAUAGUUAGACUGUAGUUGAAACUGAUCUUAUGUUGAUGAUAUUUAACAUGCUGAUGCAUCUUUUCUUUCAGGCAAAAUGCUUGGAAACGGGUGAGACCGUGGCUAUAAAGAAAGUUUUACAGGACAGGAGAUACAAAAAUCGUGAACUGCAGUUGAUGCGUGUGCUGGAUCAUCCGAAUGUGAUUUCCUUGAAGCAUUGUUUCUUUUCCACGACAACGAAAAAUGAGCUUUUUCUUAACUUGGUUAUGGAAUAUGUACCAGAGAGCAUGUACAGGGUUUUAAAACACUACAGCAGUGCAAAUCAAAGAAUGCCGCUUAUAUAUGUCAAGCUUUACACAUACC